GGGAAUGUGGUCUAGUGGUAAGAUACUUGUCAUGAAAACAUGAGGCGAUAGUUCGAUUCUAUCCAUUCCCA
Molecule: non-coding RNA, 71 nt
Organism: Sclerotinia borealis F-4128
Lineage: Eukaryota; Fungi; Ascomycota; Leotiomycetes; Helotiales; Sclerotiniaceae
Source: the annotation of a GenBank genome assembly